Molecule: ribosomal RNA, 469 nt
Filed under: uncultured bacterium
Lineage: Bacteria
Description: SSU rRNA
Rfam family: Bacterial small subunit ribosomal RNA
Source: RNAcentral
AGAGCGAACGCUGGCGGCAGGCUUAACACAUGCAAGUCGAGCGCCCCGCAAGGGGAGCGGCAGACGGGAGAGUAACACGUGGGAACGUACCUUUCAGUUCGGGACAACCAAGGGAAACUUUGGCUAAUACCGGAUACGCCCGUAAGGGGAAAGAUUUAUCGCUGAAGGAUCGGCCCGCGUCUGAUUAGCUAGUUGGUGGGGUAAUGGCCCACCAAGGCGACGAUCAGUAGCUGGUCUGAGAGGAUGAUCAGCCUCAUUGGGACUGAGACACGGCCCAGACUCCUACGGGAGGCAGCAGUGGGGAAUCUUGCGCAAUGCGCGAAAGCGUGACGCAGCAACGCCGCGUGGGGGAAGAAGGCUUUCGGGUUGUAAACCCCUUUCAGGGAGGACGAAGGCAUGGCCGUUAAUAGCGGUCCAUGCUGACGGUACUCCCACAAGAAGCCCCGGCUAACUACGUGCCAGCAGCCGU